CCAGACUCCUACGGGAGGCAGCAGUGAGGAAUCUUCCACAAUGGGCGAAAGCCUGAUGGAGCAACGCCGCGUGAAGGAUGAAGGCCUUCGGGUUGUAAACUUCUUUUAUGAGUGAAGAAUAUGACGGUAACUCAUGAAUAAGCACCGGCUAACUACGUGCCAGCAGCCGCGGUCAUACGUAGGGUGCGAGCAUUAUCCGGAGUGACUGGGCGUAAAGAGUUGCGUAGGCGGUUUAAUAAGUGAAUAGUGAAACCUGGUGGCUCAACCAUACAGACUAUUAUUCAAACUGUUAAACUCGAGAAUGGUAGAGGUAACUGGAAUUUCUUGUGUAGGAGUGAAAUCCGUAGAUAUAAGAAGGAACACCGAUGGCGUAGGCAGGUUACUGGGCCAUUUCUGACGCUAAGGCACGAAAGCGUGGGGAGCGAACCGGAUUAGAUACCCGGGUAGUCCACGCCGUAAACGAUGGAUACUAGCUGUUGGAGGUAUCGACCCCUUCAGUAGCGAAGCUAACGCGUUAAGUAUCCCGCCUGUGGAGUACGGCCGCAAGGCUAAAACAUAAAGGAAUUGACGGGGGCCCGCACAAG
Molecule: ribosomal RNA, 584 nt
Filed under: uncultured bacterium
Lineage: Bacteria
Description: bacterial SSU rRNA
Rfam family: Bacterial small subunit ribosomal RNA
Source: RNAcentral